RNAcentral lists this ribosomal RNA (650 nucleotides) under Pseudomonas sp. RNAcentral's name for it is "bacterial SSU rRNA". It matches the Rfam family "Bacterial small subunit ribosomal RNA", at positions 53 to 698 of the family's 1533-position model. Lineage: Bacteria; Pseudomonadati; Pseudomonadota; Gammaproteobacteria; Pseudomonadales; Pseudomonadaceae. The record is from RNAcentral.
ACCAUGCAGUCGAGCGGAUGAAGGAGCUUGCUCCUGGAUUCAGCGGCGGACGGGUGAGUAAUGCCUAGGAAUCUGCCUGGUAGUGGGGGACAACGUUUCGAAAGGAACGCUAAUACCGCAUACGUCCUACGGGAGAAAGCAGGGGACCUUCGGGCCUUGCGCUAUCAGAUGAGCCUAGGUCGGAUUAGCUAGUUGGUGAGGUAAUGGCUCACCAAGGCGACGAUCCGUAACUGGUCUGAGAGGAUGAUCAGUCACACUGGAACUGAGACACGGUCCAGACUCCUACGGGAGGCAGCAGUGGGGAAUAUUGGACAAUGGGCGAAAGCCUGAUCCAGCCAUGCCGCGUGUGUGAAGAAGGUCUUCGGAUUGUAAAGCACUUUAAGUUGGGAGGAAGGGUUGUAGAUUAAUACUCUGCAAUUUUGACGUUACCGACAGAAUAAGCACCGGCUAACUCUGUGCCAGCAGCCGCGGUAAUACAGAGGGUGCAAGCGUUAAUCGGAAUUACUGGGCGUAAAGCGCGCGUAGGUGGUUCGUUAAGUUGGAUGUGAAAUCCCCGGGCUCAACCUGGGAACUGCAUCCAAAACUGGCGAGCUAGAGUAUGGUAGAGGGGUGGUGGAAUUUCCUGUGUAGCGGUGAAAUGCGUAGAUAUA